Molecule: ribosomal RNA, 703 nt
Filed under: uncultured bacterium
Lineage: Bacteria
Description: partial 16S ribosomal RNA
Source: RNAcentral
AANCAGGCAUUUUCAANCAUUGGGUUUUGUACAAUUGAAAAUGAUGUAUGAUGGCGAACCCGCACAAUUUGAAAUGGCUUAUAAACGAAAAAAAAGGAACCAGGUGAAGGCGAACGCAUUUUCAUAUCAUUAGAUACGCACCAUAUUGGGACGGUUCAAUCACUAAUUGACCUUAAACAAAAUGGGGUGACGAUUCAAUUUCAUGUGGACAAUCAACGUGUAAAGGAGCGGUUUGAAGCCUCGUUUACCCAAUUAAAAGAAGAAAUUCAAUCCGUUUUAGACCAUCAAGGAAAGGCCUAUACAAUCGUGAUUCGGAUGUAUGGUGAAGAAAUGAUGGUUAAGUCUUUGUUUAUGAACGAACGGGCGGUAGAUCAAAUCAGUGGAUUCGACGUAAGGGUUUAGGAGCGGUAUAUGGAUCAGCGAAAAGUAGCGAGUGCACUUAAAUACAGUAAGGGUCAAGAUGGGGCGCCUAAGCUUAUUGCCAAAGGUUCUGGCUUUGUCGCGGAAAAAAUUAUUGAAGCUGCAGAAGAAAACGCGGUUCCAGUUUAUGAAGAUCCGUUGUUGGCAACGCAAUUGGCCAAUUUGUCAAUUGGUCAAGAAAUUCCAUCUGAGUUAUACAAUGUUGUCGCUGAAGUGCUUGUGUUCAUUAGCAAAAUGGAUCAAAAGAUGAAAUAGGGGGCAUGUGAAUGACUAAAUCUGUCUC